Molecule: ribosomal RNA, 413 nt
Filed under: uncultured microorganism
Description: bacterial SSU rRNA
Rfam family: Archaeal small subunit ribosomal RNA
Source: RNAcentral
CAGCCGCCGCGGUAAUACCAGCCCCGCGAGUGGUCGGGACGAUUAUUGGGCCUAAAGCGUCCGUAGCCGGGUUGGGAAGUCCUCCGGGAAAUCUGGCCGCUUAACGGUCAGAAUGCCGGAGGAUACUCCCAGCCUAGGGAGCGGGAGAGGCCGAGGGUAUUCCCGGAGUAGGGGUGAAAUCCUAUAAUCCCGGGAGGACCACCUGUGGCGAAGGCGCUCGGCUGGAACGCGUCCGACGGUGAGGGACGAAGGCCAGGGGAGCAAACCGGAUUAGAUACCCGGGUAGUCCUGGCUGUAAACGAUGCGGACUUUGUGUCGGACAAGCUAUGAGCUUGUCCGGUGCCGGAGGGAAACCGUUAAGUCCGCCGCCUGGGGAGUACGGCCGCAAGGCUGAAACUUAAGGAAUUGGCGGG